GUCCACGCCCUAAACGAUGUCAACUAGGUGUUGGGUGGGUAAACCAUUUAGUACCGGAGCUAACGCGUGAAGUUGACCGCCUGGGGAGUACGGCCGCAAGGUUAAAACUCAAAGGAAUUGACGGGGACCCGCACAAGCGGUGGAUGAUGUGGAUUAAUUCGAUGCAACGCGAAAACCUUACCUACCCUUGACAUGUCCAGGAGCCCUUAGAGAUUUGGGUGUGCCCGAAAGGGAACUGGAACACAGGUGCUGCAUGGCUGUCGU
Molecule: ribosomal RNA, 264 nt
Filed under: uncultured bacterium
Lineage: Bacteria
Description: partial 16S ribosomal RNA
Rfam family: Bacterial small subunit ribosomal RNA
Source: RNAcentral